Molecule: transfer-messenger RNA, 359 nt
Filed under: Yamadaella caenomyce
Lineage: Eukaryota; Rhodophyta; Florideophyceae; Nemaliales; Liagoraceae
Rfam family: transfer-messenger RNA
About the family: Bacterial tmRNA, also known as 10Sa RNA or SsrA, is named for its dual tRNA and mRNA-like properties. Its role is to liberate the mRNA from a stalled ribosome.
Source: RNAcentral
GGGGCUGUAAGGUUUCUACAUGUUAAUACAUAGUUUUAAGCAUCCAACAAGUGAUUGAAUUAAUCACUAAAAUAUAAACGCAAAGAAUAAUAUUAUUCCUCUGUCUCAAAGUUUAGCAGUCUGCUAAAUAUUAAUCUUUAGAUUCUGUUCUGAGUUAUACGUAUGGUAUACCAGAUGAUUUGAACAUUAUUAUUGCACUACAUCUCGUUACAACUGAUAAAUUUGUACGAAAUAAGAGUAAAGUUUAUAAUAUAAAACAUCAUAUAAGCCUUGUUUUCAUAGUAUUUUUUAUACAAUAUUGUGCUAGUUUUAAAACACCUGAUUAACAUGGACGUGGGUUCAAAUCCCACCAGCUCCAC